UACGAAGGGCCCGAGCGUUAAUCGGAAUCACUGGGCUUAAAGCGUGCGUAGGCGGGCGCGCAGGCGUCGUGUGAAAUCCCUCGGCUCAACCGGGGAAUUGCUCGGCGAACCGCGCGUCUUGAGGCGAGUAGGGGCUGUCGGAACGAUAGGUGGAGUGGUGAAAUGCGUUGAUAUCUAUCGGAACGCCGAAGGUGAAAACAGGCAGCUGGGCUCGUCCUGACGCUGAGGCACGAAAGCGUGGGGAGCGAACGGG
RNAcentral lists this unclassified non-coding RNA (253 nucleotides) under uncultured Phycisphaeraceae bacterium. RNAcentral's name for it is "contains 16S-23S intergenic spacer region". It matches the Rfam family "Bacterial small subunit ribosomal RNA", at positions 524 to 776 of the family's 1533-position model. The record is from RNAcentral. Lineage: Bacteria; Pseudomonadati; Planctomycetota; Phycisphaerae; Phycisphaerales; Phycisphaeraceae.